AGUGAACGCUGGCGGUAGGCCUAACACAUGCAAGUCGAACGGCAGCACAGUAAGAGCUUGCUCUUACGGGUGGCGAGUGGCGGACGGGUGAGGAAUACAUCGGAAUCUACUUUUUCGUGGGGGAUAACGUAGGGAAACUUACGCUAAUACCGCAUACGACCUACGGGUGAAAGCAGGGGAUCUUCGGACCUUGCGCGAUUGAAUGAGCCGAUGUCGGAUUAGCUAGUUGGCGGGGUAAAGGCCCACCAAGGCGACGAUCCGUAGCUGGUCUGAGAGGAUGAACAGGCAAAAUGGAACAGGAACAAGGGCCAGACUCCUAAGGGAGGCAGCAGUGGGGAAUAUUGGACAAUGGGCGCAAGCCUGAUCCAGCCAUACCGCGUGGGUGAAGAAGGCCUUCGGGUUGUAAAGCCCUUUUGUUGGGAAAGAAAAGCAGCAGGUUAAUACCCCGCUGUUCUGACGGUACCCAAAGAAUAAGCACCGGCUAACUUCGUG
Molecule: ribosomal RNA, 492 nt
Filed under: uncultured bacterium
Lineage: Bacteria
Description: partial 16S ribosomal RNA
Rfam family: Bacterial small subunit ribosomal RNA
Source: RNAcentral